GACGAACGCUGGCGGCGUGCCUAAUACAUGCAAGUAGAACGCUGAAGGAGGAGCUUGCUUCUCUGGAUGAGUUGCGAACGGGUGAGUAACGCGUAGGUAACCUGCCUGGUAGCGGGGGAUAACUAUUGGAAACGAUAGCUAAUACCGCAUAAUAGUAGAUGUUGCAUGACAUUUGCUUAAAAGGUGCAAUUGCAUCACUACCAGAUGGACCUGCGUUGUAUUAGCUAGUUGGUGGGGUAACGGCUCACCAAGGCGACGAUACAUAGCCGACCUGAGAGGGUGAUCGGCCACACUGGGACUGAGACACGGCCCAGACUCCUACGGGAGGCAGCAGUAGGGAAUCUUCGGCAAUGGACGGAAGUCUGACCGAGCAACGCCGCGUGAGUGAAGAAGGUUUUCGGAUCGUAAAGCUCUGUUGUAAGAGAAGAACGAGUGUGAGAGUGGAAAGUUCACACUGUGACGGUAUCUGACCAGAAAGGGACGGCUAACUACGUG
Molecule: ribosomal RNA, 495 nt
Filed under: uncultured bacterium
Lineage: Bacteria
Description: partial 16S ribosomal RNA
Rfam family: Bacterial small subunit ribosomal RNA
Source: RNAcentral